RNAcentral lists this long non-coding RNA (692 nucleotides) under Homo sapiens (human). Its description in RNAcentral is "HSALNT0170327". Lineage: Eukaryota; Metazoa; Chordata; Mammalia; Primates; Hominidae. The record is from RNAcentral.
CCGCAACAAAGGAGGAAAAUGUUCUUGGUGACAAGAAGCCACAGAAGAUGGCGGGUGGAGAAAGCCCAUCAGGCCCUUCCCCAGCAGGGGCGGAAACGGUCCCCAGCGGAGAGGGCCUGGAAGGAGAGGGCGCCCCCGAGGACUCAGCAGGGAGGUGCAGCUUGAUGGGAUGGCAGGUGUGAGACAGGAGAAGUGGGAGCCCCACAGGAGCCCGAGAUCACAGUGUCAGGCUGAGCAGCCACAGGCCCAAGCCACCCAGGCUGUCUGUGGGACUCAGGGAAGAUGGGUCCUGAAGAAGGAUGGCUGGAGCCCAGCCACAGACGGGACGUUGGAGGGCAGUGCGGGCCGCAACAGGGUGGGUGGAGCAGAUGCUGCUUCUCCCAGUAGGAACACAGGAAAUGCAAUGGGAAACUUCAGGAAAAAUGGACAAAGGACUUAGAAAUUCAUGGCUAAGGGACACCCUACAAGGUGACGUGGCUUUGAGUUCCAGGCUGGAUGGAAGAAAAGAGAAGCCAGUGGGCUGGAUGCCAGGACCACGUGCCUUCAGUGCUGCAGGGAGGGCCUGAGCCCAGACGUGUCUGUGGAGAGGAAAGCAUUGUCCCCGGGCCCCUGGCUGUGCACAGAUUAAGUGUUUACAGCGACAGGCACUAUGGUCUCAAGGUCCAGUGUCAGAGGUCACACGACGGGGGCGU